Molecule: long non-coding RNA, 634 nt
Filed under: Solanum tuberosum (potato)
Lineage: Eukaryota; Viridiplantae; Streptophyta; Magnoliopsida; Solanales; Solanaceae
Description: long non-coding RNA (STUB_LNC002431)
Source: RNAcentral
AGUCGUAUGUACCACUGUUCAUUGUUUCGUCAUCGAUGAUGCCAUUUCCAGUCUGAAAUCCAUGCCAUAUGCAUGCAAUUAAGACGCAGACACGAAAUAACUAGUGACUUAAUCAUGAGAAAAGUAAUUUAGUGACCAUUUGAAGCUUAGCUUACUGCUAUUCCUUGCAAGUUAAUGACAAGGUUUGGUUCUGUUUCCUUGUAGGAUAAGAUCAGCUGAGCAAGUUGAGGCACAUAGUGGCCAGCAUAACUCUCUCCAGUAAUAUAGAAAUCUCGGUGUUUAUAUUCUGGGAAUCUUUCCAUCCAAUUGAUGAGAAAGGUGAAACUGUCUUGUCUGGUCUUUUCGUCUCCAGUAGAAUAAUCUGUUGAUGUGUUAGAAUAAGAGAAUCCAACACCAGCAGGUGAUUCUAAAUAGAGGAUGUUUGCCACUGCAUUAAAUUUGCAAAAUUGUUGUCAUUGUUAUUUACAGGUUUGUGAUUUCUCUCAAUUGUGAUGACAGAUUUUGCAGAAGAGAGAGGUAUGAGUACCAUUGUUCCAGGCAAAAGGGUUGAGCAAUAAGGUUUUUCCAUCUUUAUUGACGCGGAAUGGUCCAAGUUCCAUCAUGGCUCCAGCCCCGAAUGAAGAGCAACCAGGUC